CAUUUCAAGUGCCUGAUUUAGUAAUAAUUGUCUUUAUUUGAAACAAGAGAGAAACAAUGGAGUCAUUUCCAAUUUACAACUACUUUCCAAAUACUCGUCUUGUUCUUGAAGGCAACAUCCAAACUAGGUUUAUGACCAAGCCACGGAUUCGUGUUUAGGCAGUGUCAACUGUAUCUGUCUGAUAAGUUAGUGUUACAUAAAAAUAAUAUUUCAAAAGGAUGAUUGACGACAGCCAAUUUAUAAGUAUCUUCAAAGGGAAACGUAUUAAAUUGACCCUCAAGUCUUCGUCUUAUCUUGGUGUCGUGCAGCGCAUUGACGCUAACAAGGCGUUGGUCCUUACGAAUGUCAUAAAUGGCAGCAAUGGACGUGAAAUUCCCGGUUCGAGAUUGUUCUUUGGUCCUGACAUUCAUAAUGUUGAAUUUACCAAUGAAGAGGACAUAGAGAAUGGAAAUAUUCCUGAAGACCUGGAAAAGCACUUGGAGGUGAAAAGUUUCCAGCCAUAUAGAAAUUACUUUUUCCAUGAUGAUGAUGAAGAAUACAUCAACUUUGAAGUUAUUGAUGAGUUUCAUGAGAAGUUUGGACUUGCUGUGAUGAACAUCAAGAAGCAGCAUGUGGUUGGCGUGGGGGCUGAUGGGGUUGCGCUAUACAAACAUGGAAGAAUGUGUUGGCUUCAGAUUGCCACGAAAAACAAGGUCUAUCUAUUUGACAUCCUUUUACUUGGAGCGCGGGCCUUUAAGAAUGGUCUUUCCAUGAUUCUGCAGAAUAAGCACAUACUGAAAGUAAUCCAUGACUGCAGAGCUAUUGCUGGAUGUCUUAAUACACAGUUUGGAGUGAAGCUGACUAAUGUAUUUGACACACAGGUGGCAGAUGUCAUGUGUUUCCACUCUGAGACAGGAGGUUUCCUUCCAGACAGAGUGAGCACUCUUCAGGAAGUGGUGAGCCUCCACCUGAAGGUCCCCUCCUCCCAGCUCUUGUCACUGAAGAUCAAGUCCAAGCUGACCAUGGAUGAAACAGAGAUGUGGUACACGCGUCCGUGUCCCAUAGCCUUGCUAAAGGUGAUGACGCUAUCCGUGAUCCACUUACAGCCCCUCAGACUGGUGCUGCUGGAUUCUCUCCUGACAGACUACAUGGCCUUGGUGGACACUUACAUCACGAACAGCCAGUACCCACUUGAUGAUUUAGAGAGCAUAAAUAUGGCUGGUAGGCUAUGUCCGGAUGGAGGUGAAGCGUCACUGGCUGGGGACGAAACAGCCCGGAACGGAGUCGCAGGAGGUCGGCAGCAGAAUAUUGGAGGAGAGCAGUCACCGGAGAGUGGACGUGGGUCAAAAGAAUCCACAUCAGCGGGAUCCAAACAUUUGAUCUGGUCAUCCACAUUGUGGCGGCAAACGAGAAGUGGCGUCUUUCGCCAAACUCCGAUGAUCAGCAGAUUUUAAAUAUAACGCUUGAAAGGUGUGGGGGAUGGCAGUCACCGUUGCAGCCUUCAAAGCCCUCUAAAACAACUUCAAAACCUUGCAGCAACGUUGUAUAUACAGCAGCUUACGUCAGACUUCUGGCAAAAUGUGUCUUCCUACUUCUGGAAUCAAACACGAAUGUGUUUUUUAAUCAUGGCAGACUUGGUAACAGACAACAAAGACAACUAUUUUUGGACAAAUGAGGAUUCUCAACCAUAUACUUUAGAAGCUAAAUAUACUGCUGCCUAUAGAAGCCAGCACAAAGGAAAAGUGAGACGUUGGAGCCGACGGAAGCCCGGAGAGGGGGAUUAAAGAGAUUUUGACGCUAUAAAUAUGGAACUUGGAGCUAAGCUAUUUCAACAUAAAUGGAGUGCUUACUCAAAAUCAACAGGAAAUGUCCCCGGCCAGCUGGACCAGACGAACAUCUGUCAAUCGAAGUCUUACGGCCUGAGGGAAGAAGCUGUUACAGAACCUGGAGGUUCUGCUUCAGAGACUGCGGAACCUCUUUCUAGAGUGAAAACAGUCCUUGGUGGGGGUGGGAGGAGUCUUAGCAGAUUUUCUGAGCCCUGGUCAGGCAGCGACUUUUUGCGAUCUCCUGGAUAGGAGGAAGAGGAGUCCUGAUGAUCUUUUCCGCCAUCCUCACCACUCUCUGGAGAGACUUCCAGUCUGAGGCACUGCAGGCUCCAGUCCAGACAGAGAUGCUGUUGGUCAGCAGGCUCUCUAUAGUGCCUCUGUAGAAUGUGCUGAGAAUGGGGGGAGGGAGCUGUGCUCUUUUCAUCCGACGCAAAAAGUGCAUGCCCCUGCUGAGCUCUUUUUACAAGAGCCAACAAAAAUUAGAUUACCUGUUACUAGAAUAUACUUAAUGUAAGCCUGUCUGUUUACAUGAUCAAAAUCUGAAUUAUGGGCCUGAUCUACUGAGUUCCUAAAAACUAGUGCUAAAUAGGGUGUGUAAAGUAAAUAAUUGCACAUACUUAGGGCUGCAGCUAUCAAUUAUUUUAGAAAUUGCGUAAUCUAUCGAUUAACUUAUUCAAUUAGUCGUUGGCCCUAGUGUGUGAAUGUGAGUGUGAAUGUUGUCUGUCUAUCUGUGUUGGCCCUGCGAUGAGGUGGCGACUUGUCCAGGGUGUACCCCGCCUUCCGCCUGAAUGCGGCUGAGAUAGGCUCCAGCACCCCCCGCGUCCCCGAAAGGGACAAGCGGUAGAAAAUGGAUGGAUGGAUAGUCGGAUAAAAAACACCAUAUAGCCUCAAUGUGUAUUUUAGAGAAAUGUGUCAAAAUAAACCCUUUUUGCUUGCCAUAACCUUCAUUCUUCAUUCAAUAGAUGCAUAUCAUCAACAAUUAAAUUGCAGUUUUAAAAUGUUUGCAUUAAUAAAAAAUAAAAACUCUGCUGUUCGCCGCUAGGUAGAUCACAGCACCCACACACCACAGCUCUCAUGUUCACUGUAUUGCAGCAGCUGUGAAGAAACUCUGUGUAUUCAAAUAUUCUCAGUCUGCAUUUCAUCCAUUUUUAUUACCCUCAUUUAACGAUUAAUCAAAGCGACAAAAUACAAAUCAAAGCUUUAUUUUGAUCAAUUACUCGUUGUAACCCUACACGUACUAUUAGUAUGUGCAAAUAGAUAUUGUUGCAGCUGAUCUAUUAAGACUGCAUGCCCGAUUGAUAACAAGUGCAAAAGUAGUGUAGACCGCCCUAUUUAAAUGAGAUUUUCUUCUAUCACCACUAGGGUUGCAAAAUUCCGGGAAUAUUCAAAGUUGGACUCUUUCCAUGGGAAUUAACGGGAAUAUGUGGGAAUUAACAGAAAUUAAUGGGAAUAAACAUUGAAUGCAACAUACUAGAUCUUGCAGGUUAGCUAAAACAACCUGAUUUUUUGCAAAUUCAGUUGGAUUUCAACCCUACACUGUGCAUUCCUCCAUCACAUGUGCAGUGCAUUCUUCCAUCACAUGCACAGAUAAUUCCCAGCAUGCUACACACUACAGCAGGGCUAUUGAGGCCACACUAGUAUUUGUGUCAUGUCUUUGUGAUCAUGUUUUGUUUGGUUAUGUUCUGUUGGUUUUUGGACUCUUUGUGCACUCUUGUUUGUUUUGUUACCAUGCCGACCCAUUAGUUUUCACCUGUUUCACGUUUUGGACUCACGCACCUGUCACUAAUUAGGUCACUAGCAUUUAAUCGUGUAGCUGCCAGGCAGUCGGCCUGGCGACAUCACUCUGCUUCAUGCCAUGUUUACUGUUUCAUGCUUAGUUCACGCUGCUUUUUUCAUAGUCCAUGCUGCCCUGCUCACGUCACCGCAAGUAAGUUUUUGUUUAUUAAUGCCACAGUUAGUGUCUUUUGUUUCAUGUCCAUAGUUUAAGCCUUAGUGCUAAUUUUGUUUCCAGCGUUAAGUUUUGUGCCUCCGCUGCGAGCGCUUUUUGUUUGUACACUUUUCAUAGUA
Nerophis lumbriciformis (worm pipefish) is the source of this 3872-nucleotide RNA transcript. It is a transcript of the gene named exonuclease 3'-5' domain containing 1, with no coding region annotated. The record is from RefSeq and is a predicted model, not a curated record. Lineage: Eukaryota; Metazoa; Chordata; Actinopteri; Syngnathiformes; Syngnathidae.